Molecule: ribosomal RNA, 738 nt
Filed under: uncultured bacterium
Lineage: Bacteria
Description: bacterial SSU rRNA
Rfam family: Bacterial small subunit ribosomal RNA
Source: RNAcentral
AGAGUUUGAUCAUGGCUCAGAGCGAACGCUGGCGGCAGGCCUAACACAUGCAAGUCGAACGCCCUUCGGGGGAGUGGCGGACGGGUGAGUAACGCGUGGGAAUGUGCCCUUUGGUACGGAACAACUGAGGGAAACUUCAGCUAAUACCGUAUGUCCCUUCGGGGGAAAGAUUUAUCGCCAUUGGAGCAGCCCGCGUUGGAUUAGGUAGUUGGUGGGGUAAAGGCCUACCAAGCCUACGAUCCAUAGCUGGUCUGAGAGGAUGAUCAGCCACACUGGGACUGAGACACGGCCCAGACUCCUACGGGAGGCAGCAGUGGGGAAUCUUGCGCAAUGGGCGAAAGCCUGACGCAGCCAUGCCGCGUGUAUGAUGAAGGUCUUAGGAUUGUAAAAUACUUUCACCGGGGAAGAUAAUGACGGUACCCGGAGAAGAAGCCCCGGCUAACUUCGUGCCAGCAGCCGCGGUAAUACGAAGGGGGCUAGCGUUGCUCGGAAUUACUGGGCGUAAAGGGCGCGUAGGCGGACAGUUUAGUCAGAGGUGAAAGCCCAGGGCUCAACCUUGGAAUUGCCUUUGAUACUGGCUGUCUUGAGUUCGGGAGAGGUGAGUGGAAUGCCGAGUGUAGAGGUGAAAUUCGUAGAUAUUCGGCGGAACACCAGUGGCGAAGGCGACUCACUGGCCCGAUACUGACGCUGAGGCGCGAAAGCGUGGGGAGCAAACAGGAUUAGAUACCCUAGUAGUCC